Camellia sinensis is the source of this 338-nucleotide long non-coding RNA. RefSeq lists it as uncharacterized. NCBI's taxonomy places the organism in Eukaryota, Viridiplantae, Streptophyta, Magnoliopsida, Ericales, Theaceae. The record is from RefSeq and is a predicted model, not a curated record.
GCUCUACAAGGAAUUCAAUCAGUCUCCUCAAGGAUAACACAAAAACAUGUCAUAAUCAUGGCGGUUGUGCUCCUCGUGGCACUCUUCAUAUUCCAGCAGUGCGGUACGAGCAAAGUGAGUUUCUCAUUCUCUCCGAUCAUGCUGAUGUGGUUCGGCUCAAACAUCGCCAUUGGAGUAUACAACAUUGUUAAGUAUGAACCCUCUGUUUUCAAGGCCUUGUCUCCUCACUAUAUCAUCAUAUUUUUUUCAAGAAAUGGAGUCACUGGAUGGACUCUCCUUGGUGCUAUAUUUUUGUGCAUAACUGGGGCUGAGGCUAUGUUUGCUGAUUUGGGUCACUA